AUUGAACGCUGGCGGCAGGCCUAACACAUGCAAGUCGAGCGGAUGAAGGGAGCUUGCUCCUGGAUUCAGCGGCGGACGGGUGAGUAAUGCCUAGGAAUCUGCCUGGUAGUGGGGGAUAACGUCCGGAAACGGGCGCUAAUACCGCAUACGUCCUGAGGGAGAAAGUGGGGGAUCUUCGGACCUUACGCUAUCAGAUGAGCCUAGGUCGGAUUAGCUAGUUGGUGGGGUAAAGGCCUACCAAGGCGACGAUCCGUAACUGGUCUGAGAGGAUGAUCAGUCACACUGGAACUGAGACACGGUCCAGGCUCCUACGGGAGGCAGCAGUGGGAAAUAUUGGACAAUGGGCGGAAGCCUGAUCCAGCCGUGCCGCGUGUGUGAAGAAGGUCUUCGGAUUGUAAAGCACUUUAAGUUGGGAGGAAGGGCAGUAAGUUAAUACCUUGCUGUUUUGACGUUACCAGCAGAAGAAGCACCGGCUAACUUCGUG
RNAcentral lists this ribosomal RNA (484 nucleotides) under uncultured bacterium. RNAcentral describes it as "partial 16S ribosomal RNA". It matches the Rfam family "Bacterial small subunit ribosomal RNA", at positions 30 to 507 of the family's 1533-position model. The record is from RNAcentral.